AUCCCAUGAUGGGGACAGGCGGUGACGUACUCCUGCAGACGAUCCCAAGCUUCAGGUAUGGAUUCCUCCUUCAUCUGUUGUAUAUUGGAGAUUCUCCGUUGAAGGGC
This 107-nucleotide small nucleolar RNA is filed under the name Leersia perrieri. Its description in RNAcentral is "Plant small nucleolar RNA R71". It matches the Rfam family "Plant small nucleolar RNA R71". From Rfam's summary of the family: R71 is a member of the C/D box family of snoRNAs containing the C (UGAUGA) and D (CUGA) box motifs. Multiple nearly identical copies of this snoRNA have been identified in Arabidopsis, and it is thought to function as a 2'-O-ribose methylation guide for 18S ribosomal RNA. Lineage: Eukaryota; Viridiplantae; Streptophyta; Magnoliopsida; Poales; Poaceae. The record is from Rfam by way of RNAcentral.